UCUGGUGUCUAUGGCACGGUGGAACCACGCCGAUCCAUCCCGAACUCGGAGGUGAAACGCUGUUGCGGCGACCAUAGUAGGUGGGUAACUGCCUGUGAAAAUAGCACGAUGCCAGGA
Gloeomargarita lithophora Alchichica-D10 is the source of this 117-nucleotide ribosomal RNA. Lineage: Bacteria; Bacillati; Cyanobacteriota; Cyanophyceae; Gloeomargaritales; Gloeomargaritaceae. The record is from Rfam.